UGCCAGACAGCUGCAAGUGGAAUCGGGCAGUCAGCAUUCUCAGUGUGCUAUGUUCCUGAAUGUGCAGCUCACAGAAGGCAGCAUGAAAUGGAUAAGUGCAUACCUGUAGAUGUCAGCUCGAUUUUUUUAUUGGUGCAAAACAUCUGCUGGGAGCGGCAGGCUCUUGGCGGGAAAGGGGACACCCAGUGACACGCGACAUGCCGCCUUGCCAGCCGUGAUUAAGAGGACCAGACAAACCUCGUGUGAGGCAUUUGUAUCUCUGGGAGCCCCUUCCACACCUGCAACAGUGACUCAAGUGACCUGCGGA
This is a long non-coding RNA of Scleropages formosus (Asian bonytongue), 307 nucleotides long. RefSeq lists it as uncharacterized. The record is from RefSeq and is a predicted model, not a curated record. The transcript is spliced from 3 exons. Lineage: Eukaryota; Metazoa; Chordata; Actinopteri; Osteoglossiformes; Osteoglossidae.